AUUGAACGCUGGCGGCAGGCCUAACACAUGCAAGUCGAGCGGAUGAAGGGAGCUUGCUCCUGGAUUCAGCGGCGGACUGGUGAGUAAUGCCUAGGAAUCUGCCUGGUAGUGGGGGAUAACGUCCGGAAACGGGCGCUAAUACCGCAUACGUCCUGAGGGAGAAAGUGUGGGAUCUUCUGACCUCACGCUAUCAGAUGAGCCUAGGUCGGAUUAGCUAGUUGGUGGGGUAAAGGCCUACCAAGGCGACGAUCCGUAACUGGUAUGAGAGGAUGAUCAGUCACAUUGGAAGUGAGAAACGGUCCAGACUCCUACGGGAGGCAGCAGUGGGGAAUAUUGGACAAGGCGCGAAAGCCUAAUCCAGCCAUGCGGCGUGUGUGAAGAAGGUCUUCGGAUUGUAAAGCACUUUAAGUUGGGAGGAAGGGCAGUAAGUUAAUACCUUGCUGUUUUGACGUUACCAACAGAAUAAGCACCGGCUAACUUCGUG
Molecule: ribosomal RNA, 484 nt
Filed under: uncultured bacterium
Lineage: Bacteria
Description: partial 16S ribosomal RNA
Rfam family: Bacterial small subunit ribosomal RNA
Source: RNAcentral